GAGGGUAUAACUCAGUGGUAGAGUAUAUGCUUAUUAUGCACAAAGUCCUGGAUUCAAUUCCUAGUACCUCCA
Molecule: transfer RNA, 72 nt
Filed under: Camelus bactrianus (Bactrian camel)
Lineage: Eukaryota; Metazoa; Chordata; Mammalia; Artiodactyla; Camelidae
Also listed under: 2 other names
Rfam family: tRNA
About the family: Transfer RNA (tRNA) molecules are approximately 80 nucleotides in length. Their secondary structure includes four short double-helical elements and three loops (D, anti-codon, and T loops). Further hydrogen bonds mediate the characteristic L-shaped molecular structure. tRNAs have two regions of fundamental functional importance: the anti-codon, which is responsible for specific mRNA codon recognition, and the 3' end, to which the tRNAs corresponding amino acid is attached (by aminoacyl-tRNA synthetases). tRNAs cope with the degeneracy of the genetic code in two manners: having more than one tRNA (with a specific anti-codon) for a particular amino acid; and 'wobble' base-pairing, i.e. permitting non-standard base-pairing at the 3rd anti-codon position.
Source: Rfam by way of RNAcentral